Molecule: long non-coding RNA, 1149 nt
Organism: Homo sapiens (human)
Lineage: Eukaryota; Metazoa; Chordata; Mammalia; Primates; Hominidae
Gene: LUCAT1
Product: lung cancer associated transcript 1
Source: Ensembl
CCAGACCUCCAGAAACCAUGUGUCAAGCUCGGAUUGCCUUAGACAGGUGCAAUUUAAGAACAGCUUUCAUCCUCUUUUCUCUCAUAUUGUCACACUAUGUGUUCUGACUUCUGGCUCCUUUCCUCACAAGAAGCUCACCCAGCUGGAACUCUUAUGGGACCUUGGCACCAGAGACCACAAAUUCCUCUUUGAAGUUUUCUAACAGCAACAAUGGUAUUUCUGACUUGGCUUUCUUGUAUUUCUCUCACGUUAACAAAAUUGGUUCAGCAUCUACCAUGGGCUACAUGCUGAGCUACAGAGUUUCGCUCUGUCGCCCAGGCUGGAGUGCAGUGGCGCGCGAUCUCGGUUCACUGCAAGCUCCACCUCCCGGGUUCACGCCAUUCUCCUGCCUCAGCCUCCUGAGUAGCUGGGACUACAGGCGCCCGCCACCACACCCAGGAAUCCAACUUGCUGUUUGCUAUCACAUGUGCUAUACAUGCUGUUGAUGAAACUGCUAAAGGGGCUGAAUGUGACUGACGUCUUUGGAAGGAUGAGACUUAGCGUGCCUGUACAGUUGUGUCCAAAUGCUGUCCUCAUCUCCCAAUGAAAAGGGUUUUUCCUUAAGCCUCACAACAAUUUACAGCAUUGCCAGCAGCAUUCAGUACAUUCAGAACAGGAUAAUUUCACCCGCAGCUGAACUAGGGCCAUGCCUGGGACAGACAGAGAAUGGCCUUCCAGCAGACAUGCCAAGAAGCAAGCCAGGGUCAGUGAGUGAAGAGGAGGGCAGGCCCAUUUGAAGCAACACAGUUUAUGCCCCCAGGUUCUGCCUCUGUCCUGACAUCCAGUGUUGGAUUCCUCUUCACAUCAACUCCUCUCUGAACAAAACCCAUCAGAAGAUGUCAGAAGAUAAGGAUUUUUGUCCUGAUGCUACACUUACCAGCUGUCCCUCAGUGUUCUACUUCUUAAAAAAAGAGAGAUGGAUAAACAGAGGCAACCCGAGGAUAAAGGCCUUGCUCAGUGUCACACAUUUCAGUCACUAAAUAAGACACAAUGGAUGCCAGUAUUCUCAUCCCCUCACAAAUAAAGAGCCUUCAAGCUCUUGCAGUCAACAAGAACUUUUGGAAUGAUUUCACUGCCUGAAAAGGCAGAUACAUAGGUGACACCCACAAA